GUCGAACAGAGACAGCAGCGGCGGCGCCCCUCUCUCCCCCUCUCAAAUCUUCACUCAAAAUCGGCCGGAUCUUAAGCUUUUUGUCGUGGAUUUCGUCGCCCAUCCAUCCCUAAAGGAACACUUCGAGCAUGGUCACGCGGUAGGAAGGAUGCCAAAAGCAGGGGUGUAGAUGUCCACGGCCGUUGUUGCCCAUCAGGACCCUCUUCGGCAUCUUCACUGACGGGUCUGCUGAAUGAAACAAAGAUAUUGGGGUGCUGCUGCGUAAUAACAGGAUGACACUUCUCAGUGAGCAUUAUGAUAAGGGUCACCGUGGGCGGCUUAUGGCGGAUGAGAGACAGGUCUUUUGUCCCCUGCGCCUGAGGGCUCAUGAGGCUUCAUCCAAUAAGAUGAGAUAUGAUGAGCGGUACACACAGUACAUUGAGAGGCUGGGACUCCUUCCAUUCAUCCAGCUUGUCACUCGGUCGACGCCAAGCAUGAACCCUUGUGCGAUCACCGCGCUUGUUGACCGCUGGAGGCCGGAGACUCACAGUUUUCACCUCCGGACUGGGGAGAUGAUUGUGACUCUCCAGGAUGUUUCGAUGAUCCUGGCACUUCCCAUCGAGGGAGUUCCUGUUUGUUUUAGCACUGGUGCUGCUGGUUGGCGCGGUAGGAUGUUUGAGCUUAUCGGUGCAGUUCCUGCGGUGCCGGAAGACCCAACUAAAAACAGAGUCCCCGCCGGCGCGACUUAUGUCUGGAUUGUAGAACAUUUUAGUCAGUGCCCCGAUGAUGCUAGUGAGGAGAUGGUGCAACAAUAUGCACACGCAUACUUGUGGUAUGUGAUCUCGAGGACUCUGUUUGCCGACGGUGGUGGCAGGACCGCUUCGUGGAUGUGGCUGAAUGCAUUAUCUGGUUGGGAUAGUAAACAGAGCUGG
Long non-coding RNA from Triticum aestivum (bread wheat), 911 nucleotides. RefSeq lists it as uncharacterized. The transcript is spliced from 4 exons. The record is from RefSeq and is a predicted model, not a curated record. NCBI's taxonomy places the organism in Eukaryota, Viridiplantae, Streptophyta, Magnoliopsida, Poales, Poaceae.